AGCGUGCGCAGGCGGUUAUGUAAGACAGAUGUGAAAUCCCCGGGCUCAACCUGGGAACUGCAUUUGUGACUGCAUGGCUAGAGUACGGUAGAGGGGGAUGGGAAUUCCGCGUGUAGCAGUGAAAUGCGUAGAUAUGCGGAGGAACACCGAUGGCGAAGGCAAUCCCCUCGGACCUGUACUGACGCUCAUGCACGAAAGCGUGGGGAGCAAACAGGAUUAGAUACCCUAGU
This 230-nucleotide ribosomal RNA is filed under the name uncultured bacterium. Its description in RNAcentral is "partial 16S ribosomal RNA". It matches the Rfam family "Bacterial small subunit ribosomal RNA", at positions 564 to 791 of the family's 1533-position model. The record is from RNAcentral.